RNAcentral lists this long non-coding RNA (1418 nucleotides) under Marmota monax (woodchuck). Lineage: Eukaryota; Metazoa; Chordata; Mammalia; Rodentia; Sciuridae. The record is from RNAcentral.
GCCUGUGUAUCUUGGAGAUGUAAGCAUAGUGCAAACACUGUGUCAUAUCUCAUGAGAUGGCCCUGCCAACUUUUUGUAGGAAACCACUAUUGACUGAGAUACCCAAGCUUCUUUUGAUUUUUGGAUAAAAACUAAUGUAAAUGGCUUCAAUCUUCAUUUACUGUUUUGUGCCAUGCUUAUGUAUAUUUUUGUUACCUAUUACAUAAUAAGUGUAUUUAUUUUAUAGGCAAAACAUUUUAAGGCACUGAAGUUAUGACAGUGAGGAGAUAAUAUAAGGAGCCCUUAAUAAAGCAAAGUUGAAAUGAACUACAUUCUUAGUAGGUAAAUGUUUCCUAAAGUCCCUUUAUAGGUCAGAAUUGGUGAACUUACUUAUAUUCCUAUGAUCAAUACUGUACACACAGUAUGGUAUUUGUGUAUUAAAUACUAUUUUCUGUGUCUACAACACUAUGUGAAAAAUAAUAUAAUUUCGUUAGAGAAAGAAGAAUCCAGGAAAGUGGUAUGGUAUAGUGGGUUAGAAUACGAUUUCAAAUCCUCACUAUGAUCACUCUGCUCACUUAGUAUCUGAUGUUGGGGUGAGUUUCUGUUCUUUAUUUCACCCUAUCUUUCUUUUUUUUUUCAUUGUUGGGGAUUAAAACCCCAAGCCUCAUACAUGGUGGGCAAGUACUCUAUCACUAAACUCUAUCCCCAGCCCAGUGUAAAUUUCUUCAGAGCCAUCUUCAGAUUUCUUCUUUGCAGUACUACUAGUAACAAUAGUAAACAGUUACUAAUAUUUAUUUGUAUGACAUUCAUUGUUUUAAGCACUUUGAAUUUAACACCUCUUACUCCUCACAUCAGCUCUCUGAGAUAGGCAAUUACAUGAUCACCAUCUGAGAGAUGAUGCAAUCCAAUCAAAGUCAAACAGCCAACAAGUGGGGGAGCCAGGUUACCUAAUUAUUCUGGCUCUAGAGAAAAGACUCUUAAUCAGAUCAUUGCCAUCUUGUCAGAACUAUUUGAUCAAUGUAUGUAAAACACUAUGCCUGGCCUUUUAAUAGUGAUUAGUAUUUUCUGAUUAAUAUAUCAUGUAAAAAUCACAGAGAUUAUCAACUUUGUGAAUUUUGUUGGCAAUAUUGUAAAAUACCAAAGUGUAAAACAAAAAAGAGAGAGAGAGAGAGAAUUAAAACUCUUUCUCCAAGUCUGUAAAUUGAUAAUAUAUGAUAAAUAAAUAAAUAACAUUUCGGUUCAUGUUCAUAUUUCUUUUAAAAUAGCAAGGGUGUAAAUUUUAUGGAUUUAGAAAUUGAUGAAGAAUAUUGAUUUUAAAAAGAACAAUUAAUAGUCUAGUAAAGUUUAAAUUCUCUGUUGUACUUAUUUGUAAGUCCAAUUCUAAUACUGAAAUUGUAAUUAUGCACACAUUAUGUAAAGGCAAAUAUAUACAAAAUGUC